GGGAAGGUGGCUCAGGGAUAGAGCGCUUGCCUGGCAUGCAUGAGGCCUUGGGUUCGAUUCCUACUAAGUCCU
RNAcentral lists this transfer RNA (72 nucleotides) under Dipodomys ordii (Ord's kangaroo rat). It matches the Rfam family "tRNA". Rfam says of the family: Transfer RNA (tRNA) molecules are approximately 80 nucleotides in length. The record is from Rfam by way of RNAcentral. Lineage: Eukaryota; Metazoa; Chordata; Mammalia; Rodentia; Heteromyidae.